Molecule: ribosomal RNA, 426 nt
Filed under: uncultured cyanobacterium
Lineage: Bacteria; Bacillati; Cyanobacteriota
Description: bacterial SSU rRNA
Rfam family: Bacterial small subunit ribosomal RNA
Source: RNAcentral
GGGGAAUUUUCCGCAAUGGGCGAAAGCCUGACGGAGCAAUACCGCGUGAGGGAAGACUGCCUAUGGGUUGUAAACCUCUUUUUUCAGGGAGGAACAAAAUGACGUGUACCUGAAGAAUAAGCAUCGGCUGACUCCGUGCCAGCAGCCGCGGUAAGACGGAGGAUGCAAGUGUUAUCCGGAAUCACUGGGCGUAAAGCGUCUGUAGGUGGUUUAAUAAGUCAACUGUUAAAUCUUGAGGCUCAACUUCAAAAUCGCAGUCGAAACUAUUAGACUAGAGUAUAGUAGAGGUAAAGGGAAUUUCCAGUGGAGCGGUGAAAUGCGUAGAUAUUGGAAAGAACACCGAUGGCGAAAGCACUUUACUGGGCUAUUACUAACACUCAGAGACGAAAGCUAGGGUAGCAAAUGGGAUUAGAUACCCCAGUAGUC